RNAcentral lists this ribosomal RNA (465 nucleotides) under uncultured bacterium. RNAcentral describes it as "bacterial SSU rRNA". It matches the Rfam family "Bacterial small subunit ribosomal RNA", at positions 28 to 507 of the family's 1533-position model. The record is from RNAcentral.
GAUGAACGCUGGCGGCGUGCUUAACACAUGCAAGUCGAGCGAUGAAGUUUCCUUCGGGAAACGGAUUAGCGGCGGACGGGUGAGUAACACGUGGGUAACCUGCCUCAUAGAGUGGAAUAGCCUUCCGAAAGGAAGAUUAAUACCGCAUAACGUUGGAAGAUGGCAUCAUCAUUCAACCAAAGGAGUAAUCCGCUAUGAGAUGGACCCGCGGCGCAUUAGCUAGUUGGUGGGGUAACGGCCUACCAAGGCGACGAUGCCGUAGCCGACCUGAGAGGGUGAUCGGCCACAUUGGGACUGAGACACGGCCCAGACUCCUACGGGAGGCAGCAGUGGGGAAUAUUGCACAAUGGGGGAAACCCUGAUGCAGCAACGCCGCGUGAGUGAUGAAGGUUUUCGGAUCGUAAAGCUCUGUCUUUGGGGAAGAUAAUGACGGUACCCAAGGAGGAAGCCACGGCUAACUACGUG